CCUACGGGAGGCAGCAGUGGGGAAUAUUGCGCAAUGGGCGAAAGCCUGACGCAGCGACGCCGCGUGAGGGAUGAAGGUCUUCGGAUCGUAAACCUCUGUCAGCAGGGAAGAACGGUCACUGUGCUAAUCAGCAGUGAAUUGACGGUACCUGCAAAGGAAGCACCGGCUAACUCCGUGCCAGCAGCCGCGGUAAUACGGAGGGUGCGAGCGUUAAUCGGAAUUACUGGGCGUAAAGCGCUCGUAGGCGGUAUGUCAAGUCAAGGGUGAAAUCCCCGCGCUCAACGUGGGAACUGCCUUUGAAACUGGCAAACUGGAGUGUGUGAGAGGAUAGUGGAAUUCCUGGUGUAGGAGUGAAAGCCGUAGAUAUCUGGAGGAACAUCAGUGGCGAAGGCGACUAUCUGGCACAUAACUGACGCUGAGGAGCGAAAGCGUGGGUAGCAAACAGGAUUAGAUACCCCAGUAGUC
This 465-nucleotide ribosomal RNA is filed under the name uncultured bacterium. RNAcentral describes it as "partial 16S ribosomal RNA". It matches the Rfam family "Bacterial small subunit ribosomal RNA", at positions 338 to 795 of the family's 1533-position model. The record is from RNAcentral.